Salvelinus fontinalis (brook trout) is the source of this 6837-nucleotide RNA transcript. RefSeq lists it as uncharacterized. Lineage: Eukaryota; Metazoa; Chordata; Actinopteri; Salmoniformes; Salmonidae. The transcript is spliced from 3 exons. The record is from RefSeq and is a predicted model, not a curated record.
CUCAAGACACAUUUCUCCACGCAAACUCUCAUCAACAAGUAUCAAGUUACCCUAGCAAGUAGAUAUUAUAGCCUUUUUUUGGUUUUUCGUAUAAAGAUGGUGAUACAGGAUUGAAAAAGAGCUUAAUCGACAUUUUGACUUGUUUAGACAUGAGGCGGGAACAUCAGGCUCACCCCACGCGAAGCAAGGCAUGAAUGUAAAUAUUGUGAGUUAAUCAUUCCACUUACACUCUCUGGCUAGUUAGCUGACAAACAAGCACACUGUAUCUACAUAUUCACCUGGCUAAUUGAUAGUUUGAGGAGGACUGAAAUUACCUGGUACAACAGCAAAACGAACUAAACGGAAACAUCUGCUAAUUACUUUAACUAUUGCAAAUGCUCAGGCAGCUGCCAUUUCCUGUUAGGAAAGAUAAAAUGGCCCAGUAUUUACCAGAAAAGGAAGCUCCACACAGCCAACGGGGUAAGAAAUAAUUGAAACAUCACAGAUAUAAAUUCCCACUCUGUGUCCAUGAUAAAAUGCAGUUAUACCACUGAAUGAAACUGUGAAGAGAUGCACUCAGACCAGUUCUUUGUGAUUGAACUCAGACCAGUUCUUUGUGAGAUUGAACUCAGACCAGUUCUUUGUGAGAUUGAACUCAGACCAGUUCUUUGUGAGAUUGAACUCAGACCAGUUCUUUGUGAGAUUGAACUCAGACCAGGUCUUUGUGAGAUUGAACUCAGACCAGGUCUUUGUGAGAUUGAACUCAGACCAGUUCUUUGUGAGAUUGAACUCAGACCAGGUCUUUGUGAUUGAACUCAGUCUUUGGCAGACAAAUUACCUAGCUACCUACCUUAGUAUUUUCACAUUACUAUACUUUUUUUAAUUACCCUCUGGCCUUUGUAUUGAACUAGCUAACAUUAGGUCUCUCCGUCGAUCAGAAGCAAGCAUGUUUCUGUGCUAUGUACCGGAUUUUAACCACUACUCCGAUAAGUACACAUUUGUAUUUUAUAAUUUGUGUAACUUUUUAAUGUGGUGACAUUAAUGUGGUGACAAUGUGGUGACAUGCAGUCUUUGUGAUUGAACUCAGACCAGUUCUUUGUGAUUGAACUCAGACCAGUCUUUGUGAUUGAACUCAGACCAGUCUUUGUGACUGAACUCAGACCGGUUCUUUGUGACUGAACUCAGACCGGUUCUUUGUGACUGAACUCAGACCGGUUCUUUGUGACUGAACUCAGACCGGUUCUUUGUGACUGAACUCAGACCGGUUCUUUGUGACUGAACUCAGACCGGUUCUUUGUGACUGAACUCAGACCGGUUCUUUGUGACUGAACUCAGACCGGUUCUUUGUGACUGAACUCAGACCGGUUCUUUGUGACUGAACUCAGACCGGUUCUUUGUGACUGAACUCAGACCAGUCUUUGUGACUGAACUCAGACCGGUUCUUUGUGACUGAACUCAGACCGGUUCUUUGUGACUGAACUCAGACCGGUUCUUUGUGACUGAACUCAGACCAGUUCUUUGUGAUUGAACUCAGACCAGUUCUUUGUGAGAGCAGUUGUUCUGGCUCUGGUUCAAGGAGUCAUGCCGUUCUACUGAACCUGCCCCAGAGACGGUUCCUUUCCCACUGAAGAUCCUCCUCUGUGGGCUCUCAGGGACAGAGGGUGGAGGAAGCCAAUCAAGUCGUCAGCCAGGUACAGGUCCUCCUCUGUGGGCUCUCGGGGACAGAGGGUGGAGGAAGCCAACCCAAGUCGUCAGCCAGGUACAGGUCCUCCUCUGUGGGCCCUCGGGGACAGAGGGUGGAGGAAGCCAACCCAAGUCGUCAGCCAGGUACAGGUCCUCCUCUGUGGGCCCUCGGGGACAGAGGGUGGAGGAAGCCAACCCAAGUCGUCAGCCAGGUACAGAUCCUCCUCUGUGGGCCCUCGGGGACAGAGGGUGGAGGAAGCCAACCAAGUCGUCAGCCAGGUACAGGUCCUCCUCUGUGGGCUCUCGGGGACAGAGGGUGAAGGAAGCCAAUCAAGUCAUCAGCCAGGUACAGGUCCUCCUCUGUGGGCUCUCGGGGACAGAGGGUGGAGGAAGCCAACCCAAGUCGUCAGCCAGGUACAGGUCCUCCUCUGUGGGCUCUCGGGGACAGAGGGUGGAGGAAGCCAACCAAGUCGUCAGCCAGGUACAGAUCCUCCUCUGUGGGCCCUCGGGGACAGAGGGUGGAGGAAGCCAACCCAAGUCGUCAGCCAGGUACAGAUCCUCCUCUGUGGGCCCUCGGGGACAGAGGGUGGAGGAAGCCAACCAAGUCGUCAGCCAGGUACAGGUCCUCCUCUGUGGGCUCUCGGGGACAGAGGGUGAAGGAAGCCAAUCAAGUCAUCAGCCAGGUACAGGUCCUCCUCUGUGGGCUCUCGGGGACAGAGGGUGGAGGAAGCCAACCAAGUCGUCAGCCAGGUACAGGUCCUCCACUGACUGCACCUGGUUGGUUGGCUUCCUCCACUCUCAUUCCACAUCUGUACAGACGAUAUUGGGAACCGCCAACAUGGUUCCACUGAUGAGCUCCAUGGAGGCAUUCUCAUGUGGUAGAGAAUCCCCUGGUCACCUAUAGAGACCUGCCAACAGGAAGUGGUCACCUAUAGAGACCUGCCAACAGGAAGUGGUCACCUAUAGAGACCUGCCAACAGGAAGGAUGUUAAGAGCCACAUCCCUUUCAGUGCCUGACUCUGAACCUUGGAAUGGAUUUGUUGUAAGAAAAGUGCUACGUAAGUCAGUAUUGAUUUGAUGGGGGGGAAGGGGUGGAUUUGAUAGAUUUACCUUGAUUUGAUUGGGGAAAGGGGGGAUUUGACAGAUUUGCCUUGAUUUGAUGGGGAAAGGGUGGAUUUGACAGAUUUACCUUGAUUUGAUUGGGGAAAGGGGGGAUGUGACAUUUACCUUGAUUUGAUUGGGGAAAGGAGGGAUAUGACAGAUUUACCUUGAUUUGAUGGGGGGGAAAGGGUGGAUUUGACAGAUUUACCUUGAUUUGAUGGGGAAAGGAGGGAUGUGACAUUUACCUUGAUUUGAUUGGGGAAAGGGGGAUAUGACAGAUUUGUGCCUUGAUUUGAUAGGGGAAAGGAGGGAUGUGACAUUUACCUUGAUUUGAUGGGGGAAAGGAGGGAUAUGACAGAUUUACCUUGAUUUGAUUGGGGAAAGGGGGAUAUGACAGAUUUGUGCCUUGAUUUGAUAGGGGAAAGGAGGGAUAUGACAGAUUUGUACCUUGAUUUGAUUGGGGAAAGGGGGGAUAUGACAGAUUUGUACCUUGAUUUGAUGGGGGGAAAGGGGGGAUAUGACAGAUUUGUACCUUGUCAGCUCGGGGAUUCGAUCCAGCAACCGUCCGGUGACUUGCCCAACGCUCUAACCACUAGGCUACCUGCCGAUUGAUGACAUCCCAGCUGUAGAAUAUAUAAUAAACUGUCAUUUUCACAUGAGGACAAGUGCAGUUUUUCCCAUAAACUUUUAAUUAAUAACUUGGGAUUUUAACCACUUGACAUAUCAACCAUAUAGUGGGAAGGAGCCUAUAGAUCCAGACUGUGUGAGGGCAUGUUCCACUCAGAAUAAAUAAAAACUGUACCUUUUAAAGAUUUGUCUCUUGUCAUGAAAACUAUACUGAGCAGAAUAUAUGUAAAGUGUUGGUCCAAUGUUUCAGAAAUGUUCAAUAUGCACAAAAAAGCGUUUGUUUCUCAAAUGUUGUGCACAAAUUUGUUUACAUCACCUGUUAGUGAGUAUUUCUCCUUUGUCAAGAUAAUCCAUCCAUCUGACAGGUGUGGCAUAUCAAGAAGCUGAUUAAACAGCAUGAUCAUUACACAGGUGCACCUUGUGCCGGGAACAAUAUAAGGGCACUCUAAAAUGUGCAACACAAUGCCACUGAUGUCUCAAGUUUUGAUGGAGCGUGCAAUUGGCAUGUUGACUGCAGGAAUGUCCACCAGAGCUGUUACAUGAGAUUUGAAUGUUCAAUUCUCUACCAUAAGCUGCCUCCAACGUUGUUUUAGAGAAUUUGGCGUUACCUCCAACCGGACUGAAAACAGGCCACGUGUAACCAUGCCAGCCCAGGACCUCCACAUCCGGCCUCUUCACCUGUAGGAUUGUCUGAGACCAGCCACCCGAACAGCUGAUUAAACUAAUUCGGAUUGGUUGAGCCUGGCUCCCCAGUGGGUGGGCCUAUGCCCUCCCAGGCUCACCCAUGGCUGUGCCCCUGCCCAGUCAUGUGAAAUCCAUAGAUUAGGGCCUAAUACAUUUUUUUCAAUUGACUGAUUUCCUUCUAUGAACUGUGACUCAGUAAAAUCUUAGAAAUUGUUGCAUGUUGCGUUGAUAUUUUGGUUCAGUAUACAAUGUCAGUUUUUUUUAUUCAUCCUUGUCAAUGACAACAUUCUAGAACUGAGUUAUCACUCAUCUAAGUCUGGUAUCCGAGGUAACCUGGUUAAUGAUUAUAUAAUUGAUUAAGUGUCUCUUUCCUUGUAGAAUGUUGACCGCUGUAUAGAACACAUUGUGUUGCUAAGAUGCUCAAACAUAAUUUAAUAGCUACAGUCACCUACACAGGAUAAACUAUCCCUCAUGCUGGCCCUGAUUAAACCUGUCACCCCUCACUAUAGCUGCACUUCUCCACAGGACCAGACUUUGAGUGGUCUUCUCCACAUGGCCAGACUUCUAGUGGUCUUCUCCACGUGGCCAGACUGAUAGUGGUCUUCUCCCCUUUCAAUGCUCUUAUGCUCAUCCUUGAAAAAAUCCAUGAUGUCGGAACUAGACGCCAAGUCGACAUACAGUACAAAGAGUUAUCGAGGCUAAGUAAUACAAAUGUUUUGAUCUACUGCUCUGCUAACUAGCUAGCUAAAGUCUAAAACACUUAGACCAUGGAACGGAUGCAUUAAUUUCCCCUUUCAUACAGUUAAAAUGCUAACUAGCUAAAGUAUAGUCUUAGAUUGAACAGUAGUAGACCAGCCAACCUGGAAUUGAAUUUUAUUUUAAUUGUUUUGCUUGGUACAGGCAGUCAUCCAUCCUAGAACAAACAAUCAUUUUAGAUACACAAAGUUAUGCCGGAUAACACGUUACAUUUGGAUUUUUACGGACAUUUUAAAUGGGUCAAAUCUGGUGAAAAUGGGUAAUAAUGGAAAUGGUAAUAGAUUUAGGUCAAAUGUCCUGAAAUUCUCAACUAAACCUGAGUGGGUAAUAAAACACUUAGACUACAGAAUGCAUUAAUUUACCCUUUCACACAGUUAAAAUGCUAACUAGUUAGCUAAAGUCUAAAACACUUAGACUACGGAAUAGAUGCAUUAAUUUACUUUUCAUUAUAGUUAUUAUGCUUUAAAACAUGGAAAUACACAGAAAAUAUGAACAUUGAUGGUUUCAGCUAUAGUUGUGCACCGCUAAGGACCCUUCUCAGAUGACGUUGACCCUCUGAGAAAACUGUGGGAGACCCCACUGAACCAGAAGAACUUUAAAUAGUCUGUUUAUCUCGAUCUGUUCAGUGAAUUUGGUCAGGAUCUGUGACUAUCCUAUUUGGCUGCUCGUACAUUUUACCCCUGUUUAAAAUGACAUUACAGUUUCAAUAUCUCUGUAUCAGAAAGUACGAUUCUUACGAGGUCAAGAUGCACUGUGCAAAAAUCAAUCCGCCAUUUCCUGCUUGCAAAAAUUCUAAUAGUUCUCUUAAUUUCAGUUUGUGACAAAAACAAGAAAGUAAAGUGUAGAGAAUCCAUUGUGCCCACUGGUGUGUAUUCAUGGCUGCAAAGGGAAGCUUGGCUUCCCUCAAAAAAAUGGACAAAGAAAAAUAAAAUAAACGUUCUAUUUUUUUGUUUCAUAAUUUUCCUUUAAUUCGCAAGAGGCUGAAUGUAUCUCACCGGAGAAAGCAUCCGAGAGAGUGAAACAGCCAUCAAUCUGAUGCUGUCUGGUCAGCGAAACAGCGCCCCUCUGUCUCUGUAUGUGUAGGCCGUCUGAUGCUGUCUGGUCAAAAAAGAGUAUGACAUUGUUUGUCGCCCGUAGCACUGAAUGCAAGGGAAGCCAGAGAGCACUUUCCUUCCCUUGAUUAAAAACAGUGUUAAAAUAAUAGUCCACCAUCUUUGAGCAAAACUGGGUGAACUCAACCGUGAAUGGUCCUGGCACACAAAAAAAAAAGAUGUCAAGGGAAGCCAGUUUGGAUUUACAUUUUACAUUUUAGUAGACGCUCUUAUCCAGAGCGACUUACAGUAGAGUGCAUACAUUUUAUUACAUUUUACAUACUGAGACAAGGAUAUCCCUACCGGCCAAACCCUCCCUAACCCGGACGACGCUAUGCCAAUUGUGCGUCGCCCCACGGACCUCCCGGUUGCGGCCGGCUGCGACAGAGCCUGGGCGCGAACCCAGAGACUCUGGUGGCGCAGCUAGCACUGCGAUGCAGUGCCCUAGACCACUGCGCCACCCGGGAGGUCAUUUGGCUUCGCCCCAAUCACAGCACAUCAAAAGCACACCUCAUUUACAGACUUAAAAAAAAAAUGUUGCAUCUCGUUGUUGUUCUCCAGUGGCUAGCUAGUUAGCUAAAAUUUUCACUUUCCUAAAUUAGCCGUGGAUGGAAAUACAUUGACUUGAAGUUGAAAUGGUGCUGGAAUAGUGGGGGCAGCUCCAUUUUUUCCAUUGACUAUACACACAUGUACACAUGGAUUUUGUGUUGUAGAUAUGUGGUAGUAGAGUAGUGGUCUGAGGACACACACUUAGUGUGCUGUAGAUAUGUGGUAGUAGGGGCCUGAGGACACACACUUAGUGUGUUGUGAAAUCUGUUGUUAAUGUAUUGUAAUGUUUUUAAAAUUGUAUAACUCCCUUAAUUUUUUCCUGGACCCCAGGAAGAGUAAGGGGAUCCAUAAUAAAUACAAAUACAAA